UCGUCUAACUGUGAGAGAGAGAGAGAGAGAGAGAGAGAGAGAUAAGCGUAAUAACACUGCAAUUACAACUCCGCCAUUUUGCCUACCACCCACCACCAUCAACAAGUCUUACCGUCGCCGCUGUUCUCCAACGCAAUCCUCCGCCACACAAACUUUUUCCAUUCCCUCAAUCACAACUAGACGCUCCAAUGUUGUUUUCAAGCUUCAGGUUUCUUUAUUCUUCUUUAUUAAAUCACUCAAAUUCACGUUCACCCUUACCGUUAUGAUUUUACUCUCACUUUAGAUCCAUUCCCAAUGAUUUUGAAGUUGAUAAUGUUGUUUUGGCAUUCAAUUGCAUGCUCCGAAUGCGUCAUACUACAACCAUUGUUGAAUUCACAAGGAUUUUAUCUUCCAUUGUUAAGACCAAGAACCACUACACCACUGUUCUUUCUCUUUCAAGACAAAUGGAAUUUAACGGAAUUAUUCCAGAUUUACUUAUGUUAAACAUCUCGAUUAAUUGUUACUGCCACUUACAUCAAAUGAAUUUUGCGUUUUCUGUAAAUACCAAGAUUUUCAAGAUUGGUUAUCUCCCGACCACUGUAACCUUGACUACUCUUAUCAAUGGUUUGUGUCUUAAUGGUAAGGUACAGGAAGCUCUUAACUUUCACGACCAUGUGAUUGCACGUGGAUUUCGUUUGAAUGAAGUUAGUUACGGGACUUUGAUUAAUGGGUUGUGUAAAAUGGGAGAAACAAGAGCCGCCUUGCAGAUGUUGAAACGAAUUGAAGGGAAAUUGGUUGACACCAAUGUGGUAAUGUAUAGCACAGUCAUUGAUCGUCUGUGCAAAGAUAAAUGUGUGUAAAUGAUACAUGAGUUAUAUUCUGAAAUGAUUACAAAGAGAAUUUCUCCUGCUCUUUAACUUUCAAUUCUCUAAUCCAUGGAUUUUGCAUUGUUGGUCAAUUCAAAGAAGCAUUUGGUUUGUUCCGUGAAAUGGUAUUGAAAAACAUCAACCCAGAUAUUUAUACUUUUAGCAUAUUGGUUGAUGUUCUAUGUAAGGAAUGAAAGAUCAAAGAAGCUAAAAAUGUGAUAGCUGUGAUGAUGAAAGAAGGCGUGGAACCUACUAUUGUUACAUAUAGUUCAUUAAUGGACGGGUAUUGCCUGGUUAUUGAAGUGAAUAAGGCAAAGCAUGUAUUCAACAUCAUAUGAAAAAUGAAAGUGAUACCUAUUGUUAACAGCUACAAUAUCAUUAUUAAUGGAUUAUGUAAGAUUAAAAUUGUUGAUGAAGCCUUGAAUCUCUUCACAGAAAUGCAUUGCAAACCCAAUACAGUAACUUACAACUCUCUUAUUGAUUUGUUGUGCAAAUCGGAUAGAGUUUCCGAUGCUUGGAAGCUUCUUGAUCAGAUGCAUGAUAGAGGCCAACGUCCCAAUGUAAUCACUUAUACUUCCUUAUUACAUGCUUUAUGUAAAAACCAUCAUGUUGACAAGGCCAUUGGUCAACAAUUUAAAAGUCCAAGGCAUUCAACCAGAUAUACAGAUAUUCAAUACACUUAUUGAUGGAUUAUGCAAACAAAGAAGGCUUAAGGACGCACAACUGAUUUUUCAGGAUCUUUUGACUAAAGGCUACAAUGUAACAACCUGGACAUAUAAUAUUAUUAUCAAUGGUCUUUGUUUAGAGGGCUUAUUUGAUGAAGCUAUGAACCCCUGCUGUCAAAAAUGGAAGACAAUGGUUGCAUUCCGGAAUUUGUAAAUUAUCAAACGAUUAUUCACGCUUAUUUGAAAAGGAUGAGAAUGAAAAGGCGGAGAAACUUCUUCGUGAAAUGAUUGUUAGAGGUCUAUUGUAAGAGUUACUCUAGGAUUUGGUAUCUAAGGGGACUUGUUAUCUUUAGCAGUAAAGAAAGACAUUGUCUGGAUUACAGCCCUAGCUGUCCAAUGAGCUUAGAGGUAAAUGUUGCCUCUCUUCUGCUGCUCAAUGUCGACCCUAGAAUUUUUCACAAUUUCCAUCAAAUUGUUAUUAUCAACUUACGACGGAUAUUCAAUUAGGUAAUCGUUACCUCUCUUGCUACUGUAUUCUGUCAAAUCAUUUUCAUGCCUCUUACAAUGGAUGUUUGAUUCACAUCAUAAUGCUUGUUUGGGUAGUUUUGGCUUGGCCAGACAACUAGAGCUUGAGCCUGGCACAUGGAAAGCCAAUUUAGGUUGGCUGGAAGUAUUGGUGGCAUAGUUGACUGUUUUCUGUCAAUAGCUUCCAGAAUCAUUUCUGCUUCCAAAUCCAAUAUUUGUUUAGGCUUUUUGGUAAUUGUGGAAAAGAUGAUGCUUUUAAAGAUAGUUAUAAACAUUGGUGAUAGAAUCAUCUAGUAUUUUGCUUCGUAUCUUCUGGUUUUAUGGUAUUUAUAAUGGAUAUAGCUGAUAUGGCUGAUUUCUUUUGGCUUUUGGUGAUCACAGCCUUAACACAAAUGAGUAAUGAUACAUAGCUGGGAGAUACUCCAAGAGAUUGGACUUGCUGACAUUGCUUAAGGUCUCCACUUCUGUUUGUUACAUAUUCUGUCAGCGUCUUAGUACAUUUCCAAUUCUAUUUUCCUAUGUCCUUUUUAGUUUUUAGCUAUGAAGCACGGACGUGGCGGGAAUCUGGCGUGUCACCGUGUCCGGCGCAGUUCCGACUCGGACGCGCGUGCGACACUGGUACGAUUCGCGUCAGAUGCGGCUUCAGCCGUAUCCAACAAAAAAAAUCUAUUUGGUUGGACACGAAUGCGACUCUGCUCUAGUGUAAAAUAUAUAUAGCCAUGUCUGUGUCCUGCGUUUUUCUAGAUUACCCGUGUCCCCUGUCCAUGUCUGAGUCUGUGCUUCAUAGGUUUUUAGCUUCCACCUUUUCUGCUAGCGUCUUAGCACUGAGGUGUAGCUACUUGUCAAUAGGUACAGCAUGAUGAAUGAAAUGGCAGAAAAAAAUUAAAUCUGAUUUUUUUUUUAACUUGUACACUUUAUUGCUUACUUUCCCUUGAGCUUGAUUCUUUCUCACAAAGCGUCGUAUUAAAGAAAAACAUAUUUUCAUUAGUUAAACUAUCUUGCUAUUUGUUCAAAACAACAUUCUCUUUCUUUUUUACUAUUUGUGUGAAUUUGUUACUUUUUUAUAUGUUCAAAUGAUUGAAUCAUUCUUAAUUUUAAAUAUUUUGUUUUCAUUAACAUUUAAGUAAUGAGGUUGCUGGGAAAGGUUCAUUCCACCAUUACACAUUGCACUAGUUUUUUUUUUUUUAAGGAUGGAUCAUAAUCAACAACCACCUCACUCUAUGCAUCUAAAUAGACACUACAAUCAAGUUAAUAUUUAAGACCUUAAACCCUUUAACCAACUAUAUUCCAUAUAGACAUUAGUCACAGUCAUACCUAAUUUUUUUUCUUCUUUAUUUCUUUGGCUGCUCCAUUUAUUAUUACAAUAAGCUCUUCAAAGGGAUACAAGAAGCAUUUAUUAAUCCCUACUGUUGGCAUUGAACCAAUGCUCAAUAUUCAAAAUUAUUGGAAUUUAAACGUGAGUGAUUAGUCCCAUAUUGAUUAUCAAUGAGUUAAAAAUAUAUUAUAUGAGAGGUGACAUAUACUCAAUAACUUUAAGUUAUCGGUGAAUAUGUGGUCUCUAGAUCUCUUAUCGAUGCUGAUCAUUAGCUCAUUGUUGCUCACGAUAUUCUCUUAAAUUCUCUAUCAAGUGGUAUCAAUUAUCAAAGCUUUGGUUCGGCUUGACGGGGGAGCGAGAGUAGAUGUGGGUGUAACGGAAUCUUGUAUAAGUCUAUUUUGUGGUAUCAAAGCUUUGUGUUCAAUUGAUUUGAAUUUGUCUUACCUCGAUAAUGAAAGAGGUGAAUGGAACAAAAAAAAAAUGAGAGAUAUCUUUAUACCCAAAAGUUUAAGGUUUUUGAAAGAGAUGUGGUGUUCAAUUCUCUUAGAUAUCUGAUCAUUUGCCUGUUGUUGUUUCCGUGAAACCGGACUCCUCUAACAAAAAUGUAUAUUUGUUCAUUGAGUUGGAACGCAACUCUUAGAUAUUUUAACUCAAAAUUAUUGAAAAUUAUAAAACAAAAAUGAAAACUGACAACUUAAUUAAGACUGCAAUGUAUGUUUAAUAUUAGCCUAGCUAUUUUUCAUGUGACCUUAUAGCAUAUUUAAUAUGGCUUAUAUAUACAGAACCAAGAAUAUGAAUAUAAGCAUAACUGUUUUUAUAUAACCAAACUGCCCCCUUUUUCUAUAAAGGGGGAUGGCAUUUUCCUUUCUGAUAGGGCUUCAAUGAUGUUGAAUGAUGAAGAAUCAGUGACAGUGAUUAAUUCAGACAAAAUGUUUGGCAGAAUUGCCUUAAAUUGCAUAUGCCAAGUGGUCCAUCUCUCUGACAAAAUGUGUAAAAUAAUAAACCAAUGAAGCAGCCAUGUGCCCUUGCUCUUAAUAAGGGAAAAACAUGUGAUGUGAGAUUCUGUGUAGUCAAAUACUAAAUGAGACUUGAGUGGAGGAAAAAACAAAAGUAAUAUAAAGAUUUGGAGACUAAUUUUUUUUCUUUCGCACUGGUUUCCGACUCAUCAAUUGUGGACGACUAAUCCGGCUCGUGCGUAGAGGCAUGCACACUGGCCAAGCGUUGUUCCCCCUGGAAAUCGAACCCAGUAUUCCCCAGAUUAGAAGGUUGAGCAACAUGUAUUCUGAGCUGAAGGAAGAAGAACAAAGAAAAUUUGGUGCAACUUGCUUCUUCAUUGGCAAUUAGUCUUACAUGUUAUAAGAAUGGAAAUAUAAUUUUCAAUUCUGGUGUUACCUGCUAUGGUGGGUCUUAUUAGAGAUUCUUUUAUGACACUUUGUUUGCAUUGUAUUUUUUGUCAAAUAGUUAAUGUCCAUACAAAAAAAAUAGUUUUGUC
Long non-coding RNA from Medicago truncatula (barrel medic), 4842 nucleotides. RefSeq lists it as uncharacterized. The transcript has 4 exons. The record is from RefSeq and is a predicted model, not a curated record. NCBI's taxonomy places the organism in Eukaryota, Viridiplantae, Streptophyta, Magnoliopsida, Fabales, Fabaceae.